AAAAUAUUUUCAUUUCGGUGAAAUCUAAGUGUUGAGUUCGCUAUUCACAAGACUAGAUUUCAUCCCUCAAGGAUUUUUCCAAGUUCCACAUUUUGGAAAAAUAUAUUCAUUUCGGUGAAAUCUAAGUGUUGAGCUCGCUCUUCACAAGACUAGAUUUCAUCCUUCAAGGAUUUUUCCAAGUUACACCUUUUGGAAAAAUAUAUUCAUUUUGGUGAAAUGGAAGUGUUGAGUUCGCUCUUCACAAGACUAGAUUUCAUCCCUCAAGGAUUUUUCCAAGUUGCACCUUUUGGAAAAAUAUAUUCAUUUUGGUGAAAUGGAAGUGUUGAGUUCGCUCUUCACAAGACUAGAUUUCAUCCCUCAAGGAUUUUUCCAAGUUGCAUUUUUUGGA
Molecule: small RNA, 388 nt
Filed under: Arabidopsis thaliana (thale cress)
Lineage: Eukaryota; Viridiplantae; Streptophyta; Magnoliopsida; Brassicales; Brassicaceae
Description: ATSL089060
Source: RNAcentral